Molecule: ribosomal RNA, 301 nt
Filed under: uncultured bacterium
Lineage: Bacteria
Description: partial 16S ribosomal RNA
Rfam family: Bacterial small subunit ribosomal RNA
Source: RNAcentral
CAGCCGCCGCGGUAAAACGAAGGGUGCAAGCGUUAAUCGGAAUUACUGGGCGUAAAGCGUGCGUAGGCGGUGAGUUAAGUCUGCUGUGAAAUCCCCGGGCUCAACCUGGGAAUGGCAGUGGAUACUGGCUCGCUAGAGUGUGUCAGAGGAUGGUGGAAUUCCCGGUGUAGCGGUGAAAUGCGUAGAGAUCGGGAGGAACAUCAGUGGCGAAGGUGGCCAUCUGGGACAACACUGACGCUGAGGCACGAAAGCGUGGGGAGCAAACAGGAUUAGAUACCCCCGUAGUCCCUGUCUCUUAUAA